UGGGGAAUUUUGGACAAUGGGGGCAACCCUGAUCCAGCAAUACCGCGUGUGUGAAGAAGGCCUGAGGGUUGUAAAGCACUUUCAAUGGGGAGGAAUAGCGGUUAGUUAAUACCUGAUCGUGUGACAUUACCCAUACAAGAAGCACCGGCUAACUCCGUGCCAGCAGCCGCGGUAAUACGGAGGGUGCAAGCGUUAAUCGGAAUUACUGGGCGUAAAGCGUGCGUAGGUGGCUCGUUAAGUCAGAUGUGAAAGCCCCGGGCUUAACCUGGGAACGGCAUUUGAAACUGGCGAGCUAGAGUUGAGUAGAGGGGAGUGGAAUUUCAGGUGUAGCGGUGAAAUGCGUAGAGAUCAAGAGGAACACCUGAGGUGAAGACGGGUUGCUGGGCUGACACUGACGCUGAGGCGCGAAAGCCAGGGGAGCAAACGGGAUUAGAUACCCGAGUAGUCCCUGAGCGGGCUGGCAAGGCGCAU
This 471-nucleotide ribosomal RNA is filed under the name uncultured bacterium. Its description in RNAcentral is "bacterial SSU rRNA". It matches the Rfam family "Bacterial small subunit ribosomal RNA", at positions 355 to 825 of the family's 1533-position model. The record is from RNAcentral.